RNAcentral lists this ribosomal RNA (450 nucleotides) under uncultured bacterium. Its description in RNAcentral is "bacterial SSU rRNA". It matches the Rfam family "Bacterial small subunit ribosomal RNA", at positions 354 to 796 of the family's 1533-position model. The record is from RNAcentral.
GUGGGGAAUAUUGGACAAUGGGCGAAAGCCUGAUCCAGCCAUGCCGCGUGUGUGAAAAAGGUCUUCGGAUUGUAAAGCACUUUAAGUUGGGAGGAAGGGCAGUAAGUUAAUACCUUGCUGUUUUGACGUUACCGACAGAAUAAGCACCGGCUAACUUCGUGCCAGCAGCCGCGGUAAUACGAAGGGUGCAAGCGUUAAUCGGAAUUACUGGGCGUAAAGCGCGCGUAGGUGGUUUUGUAAGUUGGAGGUGAAAUCCCCGGGCUCAACCUGGGAACUGCCUCCAAAACUGCAUGACUAGAGUACGGUAGAGGGUAGUGGAAUUUCCUGUGUAGCGGUGAAAUGCGUAGAUAUAGGAAGGAACACCAGUGGCGAAGGCGACUACCUGGACUGAUACUGACACUGAGGUGCGAAAGCGUGGGGAGCAAACAGGAUUAGAUACCCGGGUAGUCC